Long non-coding RNA from Gambusia affinis (western mosquitofish), 3567 nucleotides. RefSeq lists it as uncharacterized. The record is from RefSeq and is a predicted model, not a curated record. The transcript is spliced from 4 exons. Lineage: Eukaryota; Metazoa; Chordata; Actinopteri; Cyprinodontiformes; Poeciliidae.
CCUCUUUACUAGGGGUUUGUAUUCAGAGCAGAGAAAAACACAAUUAUGGUUCAAUUUCCCCAGAGGAGGUUUUGGUUUGGAGACAUAUGCAUCCUUGACAUCAGUAAAAAGCAAAUACAAAAUCUUGUUUUCCUGGGUGGAACAGCUGACAAAAUGGUGAAACAUUGGCAGCGCAGAAAAGAGUGAGGCAUGAUUAAAAUCGCCAGGUAUUGCAGAUGCAUUAUCGGCAACAGCUCAGGGUGGAAUUUAAACAAAAUAACACUGGUGAACUCUCUUGGUAAAUAGUAUGGUCAGAAUGUCAUGAUUUAUGUUCUGUCCAUGCUGUACUUGAACACUCAUUCAGCUCACCUGCCAUGCCCGUUGCUUACCUGUUCCACCUGAUCCCCUCCCUACUUAAAUACCUCUCAGUCUCUGCCUCCUUGCCAGAUCAUCAACAGCCAUGAGCCAGUAGAGAUCCAGCGUUUCCUUCCAAGCCUCCAGUGGUUCUACGACCCUCUUCUGUCCAUGGAUUGAACCCCCUGCCAAGCCCUUCACGGAUCCCAUCUGUUCUGGAUUUCUGGACCCUGAUCCAAGCUUUACCUCUCGACCACCGAGUAUUGCCUGCCCCUCAAACUAAGUUCGCUCUCUCUGUCCUCUUGUGUAUGACCUCUGCCUGAUUAUUGUCAAAGUCCCUGGGUGUUGCCUCUUGGAUCUGCUUGUGGAGAGUUUCAUUGCUUCCACACUAGCCUGUACUACCUGGUUUCUCAGCUCCACCCGUCCACUGCUCUACAGGUCAGUUAAGCUGUACAUUUCUAAGUUACCCCUCCUUUAUAAGUGCAUCACCAGUCUUCUCCCCUCUCUUCUCAGUGCUGAGUGUGACGACCUCAUCCUGAGCAGCAACCAGAGUCUGAAUAUUUAAUUAAACUUGUUUUUUUCCCUUUGCAAACUCCUGUGUGUGGUUGGAUUUCCGGGUCCCCACUGAGAGUUCUUACACAGAAGCUUACUUCCAAGAGUUUAAUGUCUAGACUACAGAGAUGACACUUCACAGUAACAUGUUCUGCAUAACACAAUCUGUUGUUCACAAAGAUUGCUAAUCCACUUCCCUUUUAAAUCUGGUCUGCUAUUCUUUAAAUCUGUCUGCUUGAAUAGUUAGGAAGCUUGGCAGAGAGACAUUGGAGUCGUGGAUACAAUCCUGCAGCCAUGUCUCUGUAAAGCACAUUAUACUGCAUUCCUUGUACUCUAGCUGCGUCCUUGUCAGGGCUUAAAGAUCUUCCAUCUUGUUAGCAAACGAUCUCACAUUGCCCCUUACGAUGGAUGGUACAGAUGGUUUGAUCUUCCUCCUGCUCUCUCCCCUUGCUGCUGCUCUGCAUCCAUGAUACCUCCAUUUGAACUUCUCUGGGAUUUCUUGCGUCAGCUUUUAAAUGUUGUUCAGCUGUUCCCUGUUGUAUACCACUCUGUUGCUAUAGUUACGCAUCAUAACAAAAUGGCAAAAAUCAGUCAAAACACAGCAUUCAAAACAAGAAUCAACAGCUGUCCAAAAAAGCUUUUUUCAUCCAAAAAAGCAGUAAUUAAUGUUUGAAAAUAAAAUUUAAAUGGUAAAAAAUAAAAUGAAAAAAAUCGCAAUGAAAACACAGAACUACUACAUCUUGGGUGCUCGUCCGAGAUCCCAACAUACCCGCCCGCUGACGGAGGAAGUACAAUGCGCUGAAACCUUCCGGCAGGCAGGGUCUGAAAGUCCUGGGGCGUAACUUCCUUGCUGGGGCAGCGUUUUAAGUCACCUCCUUCUGCCAACAGCGGAUUGACAGGAUGCAAACCGGGACGGAGCAAGGGAUCAACCAAGACCCCCAGGCGGUGAAACUGGGAGAUGGGGUCUUCAUCAAAGCCAUUGAGAGGAAGAACUGGGCCAGCCCGCGGUGGGCGGGGCCAUUCCAAGUACUCCUGUCCACUCCCACUGCAGUAAAAAUCACUGAACGACCAUCUUAGAUCCACCUCAGCCACUCAAAAAUGGGGUGCCGAUGGAGAUGGAGCCUCUUUUGCACUGCGGCUGUUACGUGUGUGCCAUGUCAAAGGACCUCACAAGAAGACUUUCUUUCAUGGAUUAUAUCUGGACCAUGGUGACAUCUCCUGUUGAAAAUAAUGAUGCCAUUUAUUGUUAUUCUUUUAUUGCUUUGUAUUUUAUUGUCUACAUAAUCCCAUGUUUAAAAUCAAUGAUAGCUAAAACUGUUGGAAAUGUUAUGCAUCAGUACCAACUUGUUGCCUCCAUCUCUGAGGGAGACUCAAAUGUCUAAUGUUGUGAAGAAUGUAAUAAAAAUAUGCCAGCAAGAAAUGUAUUCCUGAUGUUUGUGUUAGAAUCUGUAAAUAAUAUGAAAAACAGGAGGGAGAAUGUUGGAAAAAUUAUCAAAGUUCAUUUAAAUUAUGAGUUUAUACGUUUUCAUAUUAUUCUUUUGUAUUUUUUUUCUGUUUUUUUCUUUGGCCCCUUUUCUUUUAUGGUACAUUAACUCUUCUUUGGAUGUUUGCUUGGAGAUUAGAAAUACUUACUUACUCUUAUGGUUUUAUCAACCUGCCUGUCAUAGACAAGUCAGCUUUGUGUAUUGUAAGAGUGUCCUAGAACAUCCUGUGACAGAAUUCUCUGACGAAACUAUCUGUGUGACUAUGUGAAGAAACCCAACCCUCUUAUCCUUGUUAUGAUAAUAAAAAAUCAGAUGAGAAGUGAGAGCUGGUGGAGUUGAUCCCAGACAGUUGUUUGACUGCGGUUCUCCGCGUCUGGCUUCUCUCCCCUCUUCGGCAGAAGAGUAACUUGAGUCUCUGGUUGAUUUCUUGCAGGUUGGGAACUAAAAUUGACCCAACAUAUUCCACUCUGCUGCCACCUUCAGUGGCGCACAUUGUAAUUUUAUCAGUGAAAAGUUCUACACAGGGGCACAUCUACUGGGGUGGCAGUUGCCACACAACUGAUCCUACACAUAUAAAAUUUUACCUACUUAGCUGGACUGAAUUUGACUCUCUAUAAAUAAUUUGAACAAAUUAUAGGAAUUUACUGAACUGAAGUAAAGAUUGAUUUGAAACAAGUUUAAAUAGACUUUGGACAAACCAGUAUUCUUUAUAUAAUUACUUUGAAGAUUUUAAGAUUAUGAAGGUCUUUUAAUUUAAGGGCACCCCUCAACAUGAUCUUGAAGUGAGGGAAGGGAUGGAGAUGGAUGGGGAUGACUUAUUUUAUUUUUUUCUUGGCAUACAGCAGCUUUUAAAACAAGAUUUUUAAAAUCUUUGAAAAUAAAUGAAGUUAUAAAUCUUAAAGGUAAAAUAAAAUAAAAAUAUUUUUGCUUUUUUAUCACAAAGCUUUACCCAAAGUUCAGGGUCCAUCCAAAAUUUUAUAUACAUUUUGUCUGACUUGGCACUGUGAUGGGAAAAGUAGGGAAAGGGAAAAAAUAACCCUAUAUAAGUAUAUGCAGUAUAAUGUAACACCUUGCAACUAAAACUAUGGAAAUAAUUUACUGAACUGUAUUCAAGUGAUGUGAAGAAAGCAUAAUAAAAUGUGAAAGCAAAGUAGAACCUUCACAGCCAUUUGGUGUAAAGAGUUAGCAGCACUUGUGG